Molecule: ribosomal RNA, 253 nt
Filed under: uncultured bacterium
Lineage: Bacteria
Description: partial 16S ribosomal RNA
Rfam family: Bacterial small subunit ribosomal RNA
Source: RNAcentral
UACGUAGGGUGCAAGCGUUGUCCGGAAUUAUUGGGCGUAAAGAGCUCGUAGGCGGUUUGUCGCGUCUGCUGUGAAAACUCGGGGCUUAACCCCGGGCGUGCAGUGGAUACGGGCAGGCUGGAGGCAGGCAGGGGAGAACGGAAUUCCCGGUGUAGCGGUGAAAUGCGCAGAUAUCGGGAGGAACACCGGUGGCGAAGGCGGUUCUCUGGGCCUGUACUGACGCUGAGGAGCGAAAGCGUGGGGAGCGAACAGG